CCAUGCUUUCUCUUAGCCAUAAUUAGCAGGAUUAAAAAUGAUUGUACUGUACAAUGAGUUGUUGAAAUUGUAAGCCUUAGUAACCAUCUUUAGCUUUACUCUAGUACUGUUUAGGAAAAAAUUAUUGACAUAUGCCUUUAUUUUUAUGCCAAUUAUUUUGUGGACAAAAUCAGAAGAAUUUAAGUGACUUGUUGCAGAUUAUGAAGCUUCAGUGGGUAAGUCAGAACUGAAAUUUUGAUAUCCUGGAUUCAUAUUCUUGUGCUCUUUGAUAAAAUUCAUGGCUUUCAAAAUAAACACUCCCUUUAGGGCGCUUAAAAUGAAACUAUGUAUUUUUACUAAUUAGACUUUCAUUUUUUUGGACAUUUUACAAUUCUUUGAACUUAAAAGAUUUUUCCAUGGUCAUAGUUUCUCAUUAAGUCAAUGCAACUGCUAAAAAUCUCACUUUGCUGUUAAAUACUAAUAAUACAGGUUUUAUCAGAUUUCCUUUCACAUUUACAUAACCUUCAUGAUUCACUCAUAACUCUUUCUGUGUAAGUGCUUAAGUGACCCCCUCACUAGUGAAAAUAAAUGUUCUAUAUCACUGAUUAUAUGUAUAUUCUCUAUAUGAUAUAUUUUUUUAAGGAAAAGAAACCCCAUGUGUCCGGAUGAACAAUAUUAUCCUAGUGCAAAGCACAUAUAAAGUGGCUUGUUCUAUUCUGAAAAUCUGGCAUUUACAGGAACAAAACUUUUAGAGUGGCUGGUCAUUGUUUUACCUUCUUUUGGUACUUGAGCAUCUUUCUGUGGUUUUGUAAAUGUGUGUCAUUUUGUAAGAAUUUCUUGUUGAUUCUGUGUUAAUUGGUGUCCACCUUGUGAUAUCCUCAGCUGACCAUAGUAAUUUAGUCUGGGUAUGGGGUGUCUGCUUUGAAAUGCCUUACUAGAGUGUAGCAGACUCUGCUCUAAAGCAUUCCAUGUGUCUGCUAAGACAAUAAGUUGCCUCUCUCUGAUGUAUGCUCUAGAUCCAGAAGCAAAACUAAUUUUGCUUUCACUGUUAAUGUUGCAUUUUAGCUCAUUGUUUUAAAUUAGAGAAUAAAAUCGUGGAGCCGAGGGAAACUUUAUAACCCUUCAUUUAAUGGCAUGGCAAACUUUUAAAAUUGCUUUUACUGUUUCCCUAGAAUGACGUUUCUGAUAAAGGACAUAGCUGAAAAAUGCCUGCCAGAACUGUAUGAAAUUGGGUUUGUUUCCUACAAUUUCCCCUAAAUGUCAUACAGGGAUUUAACAUCUGUGUAUGCUGUUGGGGCUUUGUGCCAGUCAUCACUUUGGAAAUCUGUGUUCUGAGGCUACAUAAAUGACAAAAAUGUCUUGGGAUUGAAGCCAAUCAACUGUGAACUGUGAAAUUGAAAUUGCUCUUUUGGUUUUAUUUUCUUAAGCAUAUUGCAUAGAGAAUCCUGAAAGUUAUUUAAAAUUUACACUGCUUCUGUUGAUGGCUCAUUUUGGCUGUGUAUCCUCAUUUAUGUACUGAUUUCUGAUAAAGGCUUGACGUUAUUAUAGCAGUCAUUUUGUGUUCAACUUAAUAAAAGAGUUUCUGAGUCUUGUCUGCAAAUC
RNAcentral lists this long non-coding RNA (1581 nucleotides) under Bos taurus (domestic cattle). RNAcentral describes it as "long non-coding RNA NONBTAT001012". The record is from RNAcentral. Lineage: Eukaryota; Metazoa; Chordata; Mammalia; Artiodactyla; Bovidae.